AUUGAACGCUGGCGGCAUGCCUUACACAUGCAAGUCGAACGGCAGCACGGGAGCAAUCCUGGUGGCGAGUGGCGAACGGGUGGGUAAUACAUCGGAACGUGCCCAGUAGUGGGGAUAACCGGCGAAAGACCGGACUAAUACCGCAUACGACCUACGGUGGAAAGACAGGGGAGUCGCAAGACCUUGCGCUGUCGGAGCGGCCGAUGUCAGAUUAGCUUGUUGGCGGGGUAAAAGGCCCACCAAGGCGACGAUCUGUAGCUGGUCUGAGAGGA
RNAcentral lists this ribosomal RNA (272 nucleotides) under uncultured bacterium. RNAcentral describes it as "partial 16S ribosomal RNA". It matches the Rfam family "Bacterial small subunit ribosomal RNA", at positions 30 to 300 of the family's 1533-position model. The record is from RNAcentral.